This 497-nucleotide ribosomal RNA is filed under the name uncultured bacterium. RNAcentral describes it as "partial 16S ribosomal RNA". It matches the Rfam family "Bacterial small subunit ribosomal RNA", at positions 28 to 507 of the family's 1533-position model. The record is from RNAcentral.
GAUGAACGCUGGCGGCGUGCCUAAUACAUGCAAGUCGAGCGAACGGACGAGAAGCUUGCUUCUCUGAUGUUAGCGGCGGACGGGUGAGUAACACGUGGAUAACCUACCUAUAAGACUGGGAUAACUUCGGGAAACCGGAGCUAAUACCGGAUGAUAUUUUGAACCGCAUGGUUCAAAAGUGAAAGACGGUCUUGCUGUCACUUAUAGAUGGAUCCGCGCUGCAUUAGCUAGUUGGUAAGGUAACGGCUUACCAAGGCAACGAUGCAUAGCCGACCUGAGAGGGUGAUCGGCCACACUGGAACUGAGACACGGUCCAGCCUCCUACGGGAGGCAGCAGUAGGGAAUCUUCCGCAAUGGGCGAAAGCCUGACGGAGCAACGCCGCGUGAGUGAUGAAGGUCUUCGGAUCGUAAAACUCUGUUAUUAGGGAAGAACAUAUGUGUAAGUAACUGUGCACAUCUUGACGGUACCUAAUCAGAAAGCCACGGCUAACUACGUG